GGUGCCUGCAGCUCCCAGCGCACCAAAAGCCUUGGUGAAGCUGAGCUGCCCGGCCACUGCCACUCCUCCUGCAGACGAAGGAACUGAGAACCACAGGGACAGUGGAAGAGGAUGGAACCGCAUCUUCAACCCAGAUUUCAAAUACCAGUGUUUUCAAACUAGAAGAGAAUCCAAAACCUGCACUUAUUCUGGAGGAAAAAAAUGAAGCUAACCAUCUAGGAGGACAAAGAGAUUCUAAUAAGCAAGGAGGUAGUUAUACACAAGGAAAUCCAGGAACGUUUAGGCUUCAAGGACAACCAGGCUAUUUUAACAAGCUAGAGAAACCAAGACAUUUUAAGCAAGGGAGAGCAGGAGUUUUAAACCAGCCUGGGAUUUUAAAGAAUUCAGGAAAAUCUAACCAAAAAGGGAAUCCAGAAUCUUCUAAUAAGCAGGAAAACUCAGGAUCUUCUAGCCAACUAGGGAGACCAGGGAUUUCUACCCAACAGGGAAAUCCAGGGUCAUCUGACCAACAAGAGAAACCAGGGUCAUUUAGCCAGAAAGUGAUGGUGGGGUCAUCUAGCCAACAGGGGAAGCCAGGAUCAUCUAGCCAACACGGGAAUCUAGGGUCAUCAACCCAGAAAGGGAAUUUAGGAUCUUCUAGCCUACAAGGGCAUCUGGGUUUAUCUAGCCAUCAAGGGAAGCCAGAGUCAUCUGGCCAACAGGGGAAGCCAGGGUCAUCUAGCCAACAAGGAAAUCUAGGAACUUCUGGCCAACAGGAGAAGCCAGGAUCUUCUAGCCAACAGGGGAAGCCAGGGUUGUCUAGCCAUCAAGGGAAGCCAGGGUCAUCUAGCCAACAAGGAAAUCUACAUUUAUCUAGCCAGCAAGGGAAUCAAGGACCUUCUAGCAAACAGAGGAAGCCAGGUUCAUCCAGCCGUCAAGGAAAUCUAUGAUUAUCUAGCCAGCAAGGGAAUAUAGGAUCUCCUAGCCAACAGGAGAAGCCAGAGUCUUCUAGCCAACAAGGGAAUCUAGGGUCAUCUAGCUAUCAAGGGAAGCCAGUGUCAUCUAGCCAACAAGGGAAGCCAGUGUCAUCUAGCCAACAAGGGAAGCCAGGGGCAUCUAACCAGCAAGGAGAUCUAGGAUCUUCUAAGCAGCAGGGGAAGCCAGGAUCAUCUAGCCAGCAAGGAAAUAUAGGGUCAUCUGGCCAGGAAUGGAAGCCAGAGCCAUCUAGCCAUCAGAGAAAAUUAAGGUCAUUUUACAACCAACGACAAAGAAAAAAUAUUGACAGCACUUUUGAUGGCAAUAUAAUGGACUUUGAGGUUAGUGCUAAU
Molecule: long non-coding RNA, 1307 nt
Filed under: Homo sapiens (human)
Lineage: Eukaryota; Metazoa; Chordata; Mammalia; Primates; Hominidae
Description: long non-coding RNA NONHSAT104439.2
Source: RNAcentral